AAACUUCGCAAUGCACGAAAGUGUGAGAAGGGAACCCCAAGUGCUUGCACUAUGUGCAGGCUUUUGCCACGAUUAAAACCCUUGGCGAAUAAGUGGUGGGCAAGACUGGUGCCAGCCGCCGCGGUAACACCAGCGCCACGAGUGGGAGUCGCUUUUAUUGGGCCUAAAGCGUCCGUAGCCGGUCGUGAGAAUCUUCUGUGAAAUCGUUGGGCUUAACUUAACGACGUGCAGGAGACACCUCAUGACUUGGAACCGGGAGGGGCU
This 264-nucleotide ribosomal RNA is filed under the name uncultured archaeon. RNAcentral describes it as "partial 16S ribosomal RNA". It matches the Rfam family "Archaeal small subunit ribosomal RNA", at positions 345 to 610 of the family's 1478-position model. The record is from RNAcentral.